This 497-nucleotide ribosomal RNA is filed under the name uncultured bacterium. RNAcentral's name for it is "partial 16S ribosomal RNA". It matches the Rfam family "Bacterial small subunit ribosomal RNA", at positions 28 to 507 of the family's 1533-position model. The record is from RNAcentral.
GAUGAACGCUAGCGGCAUGCCUAACACAUGCAAGUCGAGCGGCAGCACGGGAUGCUUGCCUCUCUGCUGUUAGCGGCGGAAGGGUGCGUAACACGUGGAUGACAUACCUGUAAGCCUGGGGUAACUUCGGGAAACCGUAACUAAUCCCCGAUAAUAUUUUGAACCGCAUGGUUCAAAAGUGAAAGUCACUCCUGCUGCGGCUUAUAGAUGGUUCGGCGCUGCUUUAGCUAGUUGGUAAGGUCACGGCUUCCCAAGUCAAUGAUGCAUAGCAGACCUGUGAGGGUGAUCGGCCACACUGGAACGGAGACACGGUCCAGACUCCUACGAGAGGCAGCAGUAGGGAAGCUUCAGCAAUGGGCGAGAGCCUGACUGAGCAAGGCCGCGUGAGUGAUGAAGGUCGUCGGAUUGUAAAGCUCUGUUAUUAGGGAAGAAGGUAAGUAGGAGGAACCGUGCAUAUGUUGACGGUACCAAGCGAAUAAGCAACGGCUAACUACGUG